Molecule: long non-coding RNA, 750 nt
Organism: Oncorhynchus keta (chum salmon)
Lineage: Eukaryota; Metazoa; Chordata; Actinopteri; Salmoniformes; Salmonidae
Exons: 5
Source: RefSeq, a predicted model, not a curated record
GGACAACAGGGACACUAGUGGAUAGGUCCAUUACAAUGAGGGGAUGUGAUUAGGGACAACAGGGACACUAGUGGAUAGGUCCAUUACAAUGAGGGGAUGUUAUCAGGGACAACAGGGACACUAGUGGAUAGGUCCAUUACAAUGAGGGGAUGUUAUCAGGGACAACAGGGACACUAGUGGAUAGGUCCAUUACAAUGAGGGGAUGUUAUUAGGGACAACAGGGACACUAGUGGAUAGGUCCAUUACAAUGAGGGGAUGUGAUUAGGGACAACAGGGACACUAGUGGAUAGGUCCAUUACAAUGAGGGGAUGUUAUUAGGGACAACAGGGACACUAGUGGAUAGGUCCAUUACAAUGAGGGGAUGUUAUUAGGGACAACAGGGACACUAGUGGAUAGGUCCAUUACAAUGAGGGGAUGUUAUUAGGGACAACAGGAAAACUAGUAGAUAGGUCCAUUACAAUGAGGGGAUGUUAUUAGGGACAACAGGAACACUAGUGGAUAGGUCCAUUACAAUGAGGGGAUGUUAUCAGGGACAACAGGGACACUAGUGGAUAGGUCCAUUACAAUGAGGGAUGUGAUUAGGGACAACAGGGACACUAGUGGUCCAUUACAAUGAGGGGAUGUGAUUAGGGACAACAGGGACACUAGUGGAUAGGUCCAUUACAAUGAGGGGAUGUGAUUAGGGACAACAGGGACACUAGUGGAUAGGUCCAUUACAAUGAGGGAUGUUAUUAGGGACAACAGGGACAC